Long non-coding RNA from Betta splendens (Siamese fighting fish), 2269 nucleotides. The record is from Ensembl. Lineage: Eukaryota; Metazoa; Chordata; Actinopteri; Anabantiformes; Osphronemidae.
UCCUAUGCAAUCUAAGUAAUUGUGACUUGACCAAUCCUCUAUGCUUUGAGGUGUGUGAGCGUCUGUUUCCUUCAAAUAAACUUUGAUGUCCAAAUUUCCAUGUUGUGUGAAUUUAGGGCCCUUGAAAGUGGUCGUGUUCAGGAAAUUAACUGAAUGAGUGUCUGUAGUUGCUUUUAACUUAAUGGAGGGGUUUAUGAUUAUUUAGUGUCUGUAAAAUGUCUCAAAAUCCUGUUCUGAAUGUGUCCAAAUACCCCCAUAUGUCAUGUAAAUAUCUAUAAUAGUGUUAAUUUCCCCUGCAACCAGUGGGAAAGGAUACGGCCCGCUGUGGUGGGAGACCAGUGGAUGAGGUCUGCCUCGACCUCAAAGAGCUCACUGGGGAUGCGGGUGAGAUACUCACAGUUCUCUCUGAUAUAAUCAUUGAGUAGAUACAAGUUGUGUUGCUCCACCUGUGGGAGGGCUGGGGAGAAGUUUAUUUCUGGAAUGUAAACAAGCAGUCUGAGGGAACCUCUUCUUGGCUACUCUGUAAGGCACCUUGGAGUUGUUUGAUGGUAGUAGAGUGAGUUUUUUGGUUCCUGCUGUUGAUGCCGAAGGACAGGAUGAUGGACUGUGUCUGGGUGGAAGAGGUGGCUUUCUGCAGGAUGGAUUCUGCAUGGUAGAAGGUGGCCCCAGGAAAACUGUCGACCUGCAGGUCCUCUCUGGUGAAGGGAGGAAAUAUGCCAACGUUGGAAUCCCCCAUAAUGACCAUCUUUUUUUGUAGGGCCAGAUGCUCCAGUCCCUCAGUUUCCUGCUGGUGUUGGGGUGGCGAGUGGGCUUGAAAAUUUCAGUACCAGGAGGAGUAGAGGGGGUGACAAAGAUCUCCAUGAGGGUAAGUUGCCUGCGGCUCAUCCUAUGGGGAGAUCUGGCUGCUGCAGGAGGAGAGAGGAGAAAGAGAGGCCCCAUUUUGGUCAGGGAGAGGGGGCCUGGAGAGGCAAGAUGGAGUUCAGCCGCAGCAGCAGGAGGAGGAGAAGAAGGAGAAUCGGAGGAAGAGGAGACAGCCCCCUGCCGGAUGAUUGUUUGAUCCUCUUCAUCAGCAGGGCGCCAGGCUCCACUGUGGAUGUCUCAUCCUCCGCAAAUCGGGUGUUUGGGAGCAGAUCUUCCUCCUCAGACUGGCGAGUGCUGAAUUUGGACCUGGAGCCAGUCCUGGGUUCUCUCUGUGAUUUAGGAGAUGGUGGCGUGUUUGCGACCAUGGGAGGAGUGGGAGACACUGGGGUAGAGUGUGAGAGCAGAUGAGGAUGGGCGUUGUCAUCGUCGUCAUCAUCAACAUCCUCUCCCUCAUCCUUAACAUAAUGAUAACGUUCAUCAUCAACAUCAUUGUUGUACUCCUCUUCCUCAGCCAUGCUCUCCUCUCCUUCUGAUUGUUGGGAGGGGAGGGGGGACCAAUCCCCGCCCCUCAGGUGAGUCAUAGUGCCCAUGGAGGCAGUGGUGACAGUUCGAGGUGGGGCAAAAGAUGUGAUGCAAGCUGCAGCAGGUGCAUGUGUUUGGGCUGCAGUGCUGCGUGUGGCUGAAGGAGCCUGUGAUGUUGUGUGGGAGAGGGGGGGAUGCUGAGGGGAUUACCUGAGGUGAUGCUGAUGGGGAGGAGUCAUCUGAUUGGGCUCGGGAGGGGCUCCCAGGUGGGUCCAGUACACCUCGGGCAUUCAGGUUGUCAGACAAAAAGGUCUCAGCCUCCUGCAGGGUCUUGGGGAGGAGGCGCCGACCCAGAUUGCGACGGGCCCAGCCUGACGCCACUUCAAAGGGACCCCUCCAGUCCUGAUGUUGGGCAUCAGCCAUCUCAAGGAGAUGCUGCUGUAUCACAUCCUCAUAAUGCUGCUUCAUUAUGGUAAUAUUAUUGUGUUCCCAAUUUUUAGCAUUACCUUGGAUUAGGAGGAGCGUUGUGUGUGUGGGAGAAGCUGGUUUUAUAACGGUAGCAAGAGUCUCCGUCAUCUUGCUUACCUGGGAUGGUGCCCGGGCUCCGGACCAGUUCCGGAGGUGGUGGAAUGCCACAAUGAUUUUGUGUAGGGGCUCGGACCUUUUCCCUGAAGCGAGGAUCAUCUGACUGGAUCCUCAGCGGCUGCUGAUUUCUGCUUUGUGACUGGCGGUCCGGUCUUCUGCGGUACUGUGGUCCGGCCCGGUCUCUUCUCCAUGGGAGAAUUGCGCCGCUGGCGUCUGCCGUAUGUUGCGCGACGUCGCGGUCGGCGGAACGGUGAACGGUCCAGUUGUGGAGGUUCAUAGCGGUGACGUGGUGCAGAAUUGU